UGUAAGCGUAUACCAAAGUUGUUGCAGUUAAAACGCUCGUAGUCGGAAUUUGGCAGUUCCGGAUGUGUGCACGUCGUGUGCGCACUUCGCGGGGAUUGCUUUUGUGGUCUUGCGUAGGAUGAGGCACUUUUAUUAGUGAACGUCCUCACGCAACCACUUUUUACUGUGAGAAAAUCAGAGUGCUCAAAGCAGGCAUUUGCCGUGAAUGUAUUAGCAGGGAAUAAUAGAAUAGGACUUGGUUCUAUUUUGUUGGUUUGUUGGGACUGAGUAAUGAUUAAGAGGGACAGUUGGGGGCAUUUGUAUUUCGGUGCUAGAGGUGAAAUUCUUAGAUUACCGAAAGACAAACUGCUGCGAAAGCGUCUGCCAAGGAUGUUUUCAUUGA
RNAcentral lists this ribosomal RNA (382 nucleotides) under uncultured eukaryote. RNAcentral's name for it is "partial 18S ribosomal RNA". It matches the Rfam family "Eukaryotic small subunit ribosomal RNA", at positions 592 to 976 of the family's 1831-position model. The record is from RNAcentral.